RNAcentral lists this transfer RNA (60 nucleotides) under Felis catus (domestic cat). It matches the Rfam family "tRNA", at positions 8 to 63 of the family's 71-position model. From Rfam's summary of the family: Transfer RNA (tRNA) molecules are approximately 80 nucleotides in length. Lineage: Eukaryota; Metazoa; Chordata; Mammalia; Carnivora; Felidae. The record is from Rfam by way of RNAcentral.
UGGCUCAGUCAGUUGAGCGUCUGACUUCAGCUCAGGUCAUGAUGUGGGUUCAAGCCCCAC